RNAcentral lists this ribosomal RNA (510 nucleotides) under uncultured bacterium. Its description in RNAcentral is "partial 16S ribosomal RNA". It matches the Rfam family "Bacterial small subunit ribosomal RNA", at positions 28 to 507 of the family's 1533-position model. The record is from RNAcentral.
GACGAACGCUGGCGGCGUGCUUAACACAUGCAAGUCGAACGUAGAGCGAUGGAAGCUUGCUUCUAUCAAUCUUAGUGGCGAACGGGUGAGUAACGCGUAAUCAACCUGCCCUUCAGAGGGGGACAACAGUUGGAAACGACUGCUAAUACCGCAUACGAUCCAAUCUCGGCAUCGGGACUGGAUGAAAGGUGGCCUCUAUUUAUAAGCUAUCACUGAAGGAGGGGAUUGCGUCUGAUUAGCUAGUUGGAGGGGUAACGGCCCACCAAGGCGAUGAUCAGUAGCCGGUCUGAGAGGAUGAACGGCCACAUUGGGACUGAGACACGGCCCAGACUCCUACGGGAGGCAGCAGUGGGGAAUCUUCCGCAAUGGACGAAAGUCUGACGGAGCAACGCCGCGUGAGUGAUGACGGCCUUCGGGUUGUAAAGCUCUGUUAAUCGGGACGAAUGGUUCUUGUGCGAAUAGUGCGAGGAUUUGACGGUACCGGAAUAGAAAGCCACGGCUAACUACGUG